GUGAAUCAUCAAAUCUUUGAACGCAAAUUGCACUCUCUGGUAUUCCGGAGAGUAUGCCUGUUUGAGGGUCAGUUUAAAUAAAAAUCUGUGUGGUUGCUGCCUUUCGUGGUUACGCAUCGGAUUUGUGUCGUCUUGCCUUCGGUUAAGUGACCUAAAAUUUUGCAUGCUUUUUUUCGAACGUAUUUAAAUGUUUUUUCUUAUGUUUUCACUUUCGGAUACUAGGUGUGUUCAUUCUCAU
Molecule: unclassified non-coding RNA, 238 nt
Filed under: Glomus sp.
Lineage: Eukaryota; Fungi; Glomeromycota; Glomeromycetes; Glomerales; Glomeraceae
Description: partial contains 5.8S ribosomal RNA and internal transcribed spacer 2
Rfam family: 5.8S ribosomal RNA (bases 1-71)
Source: RNAcentral